Molecule: unclassified non-coding RNA, 724 nt
Filed under: Hevea brasiliensis (rubber tree)
Lineage: Eukaryota; Viridiplantae; Streptophyta; Magnoliopsida; Malpighiales; Euphorbiaceae
Source: RNAcentral
CUGGGUGGGCUGCAGGCAUUGGAGUUGUAGAUGAAGCAUUGACUAUGGUGCUUCCAGAAAGGAGGCGGCACAGUUACCAACUUGAAUUUUUGUUCAAUUAUUGUAUGAGGAUGCUUUUAAGACAUCAUAAGCAAUCANNNACUCUGGGAGUCCAUCUCUCAGGGGCUGCAAGUAUAUCCUUGCAGUCCUGAACUCUUCAGGGCCUUAGUGGAGAUCACCCAUCGUUAUGCAACACCCAAUAAAUUGCGGUGGAUGUUCGAUGAUUACUGUUACAAGAAACCUUCUGUUAUUGUUUGGAUUUUUGCAUUGUCUUUUGAGAUGAGCAGAGGAGGCUCCCAUCACAGAAUCCAUGGGUUAUUUGAAAGAGCAUUGGCAAAUGAGAGCUUGCGUAAAUCGGUCAUACUUUGGCGUACUUACAUUGCUUAUGAAAUUGACAUAGCAUGCAAUCCUUCUGCUGCUAGGCGAAUUUUCUUCCGAGCUAUUCAUGCCUGUCCAUGGUAAGAGAUUGAUGAUGGGAGCCUCCUCUGCUCNGUAAAAUUGAAUUCUGUCCUAUCUCCGAAGGAGCUGUCUGAUCUCCAAGAAGUAAUGCGGGAUAAGGAAUUGAAUCUGAGGACAGAUAUUUAUGAGAUUCUCUUGCAAGAUGAGCUUGUAUCAUGAUAAUUGCUGUUACAUUUAACUGAAUAGAAUUUGAUUAGGCUUGUAAAGGCAUCAAUCAGAAUUGUAG